RNAcentral lists this long non-coding RNA (1118 nucleotides) under Equus asinus (donkey). Its description in RNAcentral is "lncRNA (ENSEASG00005023992.1)". Lineage: Eukaryota; Metazoa; Chordata; Mammalia; Perissodactyla; Equidae. The record is from RNAcentral.
ACACCUGAGAACCACUGCCUAGCUAUAGGGAACUGUUGAAAAUACACUCUUCCUCGUGUAACACUUGAGAAACUCUGAUUCAUUCUUCUCCCACCUCAUUGCUUCCUAGAUUCAAUGAAGAUUCAGGCCUGCAUUGAAAUCCCAGCUCACUCCUGAUUAGUCACCUGCCUCAGGAGGCUAUAGCCCUCAGGGGGCUCUUGUCCUGGACUGACUUUGAGAAACUGAGGAAAGCUAUGGACACUUCUCCCAGGUGAAGACCAUAAGAGAAAAAACGAAGUUUCCUAGAGAAGAAAUUCUGCUUCCAGACUGUAAUACAGAAAUUCUGCUGUUUCCAGCCUGCCAGCCUGCCUACAGAUUUCUGCCUUGUCAGCCCUUACAGUGAUAUGAGACAAUUCCUUUAACUUCUUGAUAGAUAUGUAGAUAGAUAGAUAAAUGGACAGACAGAUAUAGAUAAGAUAUGGAGGUAUAUAAACAUACACAUGCAUAUCUAUAUAUCAAUAAUCAUAGUCAUAAUCUAAGCAUAAUUAACUAGAUUUAGGUAUACAUUGGAUAAGGAGUUAAAGGAUAGUGUAUUAUAUCCUAGGUUUCUACUUAAACAACUGAGCAGAUAGUGAUUUUAUUUAUUGAAAUAGAGGCAACUGGGAAAAAAUAAGCAUUUGGGUGGUGAGGGUAGUGGGAAUUAGUUCCCUUUUGUCCAGGUUAAUUUUGUGAUAUCCAAGUAUAUACGUAAAGUUGUGAAUAUGUGAAUGUAGAGCUGAGUGGGUGGUUUAAGUUAAGAUAAAAUUAUAGGAUUGCCACAUAAAUAUGAUAUUUAGAGUUAAGGAACUUGAGGAGAAUUUCUAGUAGGAGAAUGAAAGAUGACUCAUGACCAAGUCCAGAGAGCCUAGGACCACAGUGUGAAGAGAACCAACAGUUAGAGCUCAGGUGGAAGUGGAAACACAGGAGUGAUGAGAGAAGGAAGAGGUAAAUGCGUGCUAUGGUGUCACAGACCUAGCAAGAGAACAGUCAAUAGUGUGGAAUGAUUCAGAUUUAUCUAGCAAGAUAAGGCUAGAAAAAAAAGCGUUACAUGGGAUUGGCAAAAUGGAUGUCAUUAAUGACCUCAGCAAGAGUAGUUUUUG